This 892-nucleotide ribosomal RNA is filed under the name uncultured bacterium. Its description in RNAcentral is "bacterial SSU rRNA". It matches the Rfam family "Bacterial small subunit ribosomal RNA", at positions 8 to 922 of the family's 1533-position model. The record is from RNAcentral.
AGAGUUUGAUCCUGGCUCAGGAUGAACGCUGGCGGCGCGCCUAACACAUGCAAGUCGAACGGCACCCAUCUUCGGAUGGAAGCGAGUGGCGAACGGCUGAGUAACACGUGGAGAACCUGCCCCCUCCCCCGGGAUAGCCGCCCGAAAGGACGGGUAAUACCGGAUACCCCGGGGUGCCGCAUGGCACCCCGGCUAAAGCCCCGACGGGAGGGGAUGGCUCCGCGGCCCAUCAGGUAGACGGCGGGGUGACGGCCCACCGUGCCGACAACGGGUAGCCGGGUUGAGAGACCGACCGGCCAGAUUGGGACUGAGACACGGCCCAGACUCCUACGGGAGGCAGCAGUGGGGAAUCUUGCGCAAUGGGGGGAACCCUGACGCAGCGACGCCGCGUGCGGGACGGAGGCCUUCGGGUCGUAAACCGCUUUCAGCAGGGAAGAGUCAAGACUGUACCUGCAGAAGAAGCCCCGGCUAACUACGUGCCAGCAGCCGCGGUAAUACGUAGGGGGCGAGCGUUAUCCGGAUUCAUUGGGCGUAAAGCGCGCGUAGGCGGCCCGGCAGGCCGGGGGUCGAAGCGGGGGGCUCAACCCCCCGAAGCCCCCGGAACCUCCGCGGCUUGGGUCCGGUAGGGGAGGGUGGAACACCCGGUGUAGCGGUGGAAUGCGCAGAUAUCGGGUGGAACACCGGUGGCGAAGGCGGCCCUCUGGGCCGAGACCGACGCUGAGGCGCGAAAGCUGGGGGAGCGAACAGGAUUAGAUACCCUGGUAGUCCCAGCCGUAAACGAUGGACGCUAGGUGUGGGGGGACGAUCCCCCCGUGCCGCAGCCAACGCAUUAAGCGUCCCGCCUGGGGAGUACGGCCGCAAGGCUAAAACUCAAAGGAAUUGACGGAAGGGC